GACGAACGCUGGCGGCGUGCUUAACACAUGCAAGUCGAACGGAAAGUCCCUGCUUUUGUGGGGUGCUCGAGUGGCGAACGGGUGAGUAACACGUGAGUAACCUGCCCUUGACUUUGGGAUAACUUCAGGAAACUGGGGCUAAUACCGGAUAGGAGCUCCUGCUGCAUGGUGGGGGCUGGUAAGUUUCGGUGGUUGGGGGUGGACUCGCGGCCUAACAGCUUGUUGGGGGGGUAGUGGAUUAGCAAGGCUUUGACGGGUAGCCGGGCUGGUAGGGUGACCGGACACGUUGGGACUGGAAUACGGCCCGGCCUCAUCCGGGAGGGAGCAGAGGGGAAUAUUGCACUAUGGGCGGAAGCCUGAUGCAGCAACGCCGCGUGCGGGAUGACGGCAUUCGGGUUGUAAUCCGCUUUCGCCUGUGACGAAGCGUGAGUGACGGUAAUGGGUAAAGAAGCACCGGCUAACUACGUG
RNAcentral lists this ribosomal RNA (468 nucleotides) under uncultured bacterium. RNAcentral's name for it is "partial 16S ribosomal RNA". It matches the Rfam family "Bacterial small subunit ribosomal RNA", at positions 28 to 507 of the family's 1533-position model. The record is from RNAcentral.